This 570-nucleotide ribosomal RNA is filed under the name uncultured Methylotenera sp. Its description in RNAcentral is "bacterial SSU rRNA". It matches the Rfam family "Bacterial small subunit ribosomal RNA", at positions 8 to 573 of the family's 1533-position model. The record is from RNAcentral. Lineage: Bacteria; Pseudomonadati; Pseudomonadota; Betaproteobacteria; Nitrosomonadales; Methylophilaceae.
AGCGUUUGAUCAUGGCUCAGAUUGAACGCUGGCGGAAUGCUUUACACAUGCAAGUCGAACGGCAGCACGGACUUCGGUCUGGUGGCGAGUGGCGAACGGGUGAGUAAUGUAUCGGAACGUAUCCAGUAAUGGGGGAUAACUAAUCGAAAGGUUGGCUAAUACCGCAUACGCCCUACGGGGGAAAGCAGGGGAUCUUCGGACCUUGCGUUAAUGGAGCGGCCGAUAUCUGAUUAGCUAGUUGGUGAGGUAAGAGCUCACCAAGGCGACGAUCAGUAGCUGGUCUGAGAGGACGACCAGCCACACUGGAACUGAGACACGGUCCAGACUCCUACGGGAGGCAGCAGUGGGGAAUUUUGGACAAUGGGCGCAAGCCUGAUCCAGCCAUUCCGCGUGAGUGAAGAAGGCCUUCGGGUUGUAAAGCUCUUUCGCAAGGGAAGAAACGAUGCAGACGAAUAAUCUGUGUUAAUGACGGUACCUUGAUAAGAAGCACCGGCUAACUACGUGCCAGCAGCCGCGGUAAUACGUAGGGUGCAAGCGUUAAUCGGAAUUACUGGGCGUAAAGCGUGCGCA